GGUGAAAUGGCUGAUAAAAGCAAUAAACUGUAAAUUUAUGCAUGAAUUUUAAUUCUUUCACCA
Molecule: transfer RNA, 63 nt
Filed under: Crioceris duodecimpunctata (spotted asparagus beetle)
Lineage: Eukaryota; Metazoa; Arthropoda; Insecta; Coleoptera; Chrysomelidae
Description: tRNA-Tyr
Rfam family: tRNA
About the family: Transfer RNA (tRNA) molecules are approximately 80 nucleotides in length. Their secondary structure includes four short double-helical elements and three loops (D, anti-codon, and T loops).
Source: RNAcentral